This 1118-nucleotide long non-coding RNA is filed under the name Oryctolagus cuniculus (rabbit). RNAcentral's name for it is "lncRNA (ENSOCUG00000033210.1)". Lineage: Eukaryota; Metazoa; Chordata; Mammalia; Lagomorpha; Leporidae. The record is from RNAcentral.
AGAGCUCCCGAGCCAAGAAAAUCUCUCAUUGCCUUUGGAACACCUGCAUUCAGAGAGUUUACAGGUGAGUUGACACCGACAUCAGAGUCAGCUCAUUGUCCACCACCAUGGACCGAGAGCUCCUCCUGCAAUCGGUGUUGCACUGCAGUCUCAGGAUCCAGCUGCAGACCUGAGAACUGCUCACAGCUAUGCCUCACUCAUCUGCUGGCCCCCGGCUCGCAACCCCAUUUGCACCACCUCUUCCUUACCCCUGCUGCACACCCAGUGGUCUACAAACACGCUUCUGCCUCGCAACUUUUCCUGCAGUGUGCUGACAGGAUGACUAUCCUAAAACACAAAUAUUUUCCUAAAAGUCCCCAAUAGUAGAAACUUCAUAGCAUUCUCCUACCUCAUUUUUUUGAUAAAUAUUUCUUGGUUCCAAGUAUUUUGAUUAUACCAGCUUCAGGCCCGUUUUGCAAGUUCACCUUUGUCCUCAUCCAAACCGUACUGUCUGCAGGUUCCUUAAUUCUCUUUGUUGCCUGUCACACACUGGGAUUUCAAAGAUGGUAUGUUUCUGCUCCCAGUGCUUGCUUGCUUCAUUAUUAAAUUUGGCCAAGGCUCACUGGAAAUGUCACACUCUUGCUGCUGCUGUCCAGGAUCCUCAGACAAAAUCGAUUGCUCCCUCUUCUCUUUGCGAAUGUGCAUAAGGUCCGGGCAUUGCACAGGCACAGAUUGCAGUAGUCUAUAAAAAGAAUUAAUUAGUGUAUGAUCCUCACUGUAUCUUGAUAUUGGUUAGGCCCAUAGCGGACUGCUUCAUUCUUAAGAACAUUAAUAUCUUGUUUCUUCACUUCACAGACAAAGACACAAUUCCUAGUUAGGAUGUCAAGUUUCAAAAUUUUAAGAGGGGUGGAUCUUUAGCCUAAAGGUUAAAAUGUCUGCAUCUCACAUCAGAAUUUCUGGAUUCAAUUUCCAGUUCUAAUUCCUGACUCCAGCUUCUUGCUGAUUUAGUCCCUGGAAAGUAGUUAUGACAACUCAAGUCACUGGGUUCCUGCCACCUAUGCAGGAUGCAGGAGACUUGAACUGAGUUCCUGGAUCCCAGCAUCUGCCCUGGCCCAGACCUGUACAUGUAGCACUGUGGG